CCUACGGGAGGCAGCAGUGAGGAAUAUUGGUCAAUGGGCUUACGCCUGAACCAGCCAAGUCGCGUGAGGGAAGACUGCCCUAUGGGUUGUAAACCUCUUUUGUCAGGGAGCAACGCCGGCUACGUGUAGCCGGACUGAGAGUACCUGAAGAAAAAGCAUCGGCUAACUCCGUGCCAGCAGCCGCGGUAAUACGUAGGGGGCAAGCGUUAUCCGGAUUUACUGGGUGUAAAGGGAGCGUAGACGGCAUGGCAAGUCUGAAGUGAAAGCCCGGGGCUCAACCGCGGGACUGCUUUGGAAACUGUUAAGCUGGAGUGCAGGAGAGGUAAGUGGAAUUCCUAGUGUAGCGGUGAAAUGCGUAGAUAUUAGGAGGAACACCAGUGGCGAAGGCGGCUUACUGGACUGUAACUGACGUUGAGGCUCGAAAGCGUGGGGAGCAAACAGGAUUAGAUACCCGGGUAGUC
RNAcentral lists this ribosomal RNA (461 nucleotides) under uncultured bacterium. RNAcentral's name for it is "partial 16S ribosomal RNA". It matches the Rfam family "Bacterial small subunit ribosomal RNA", at positions 338 to 795 of the family's 1533-position model. The record is from RNAcentral.